UGGGCGUAAAGCGUGCGUAGGCGGUUCGUUAAGUCAGAUGUGAAAGCCCUGGGCUCAACCUGGGAACUGCAUUUGAAACUGGCGGACUAGAGUUUAGUAGAGGGGAGUGGAAUUUCAGGUGUAGCGGUGAAAUGCGUAGAUAUCUGAAGGAACACCAGUGGCGAAGGCGACUCCCUGGACUAGAACUGACGCUGAGGUACGAAAGCGUGGGUAGCAAACAGGAUUAGAUACCCUGGUAGUCCACGCCGUAAACGAUGUCGACUAGCCGUUGGUCCUAUUUACAGGAUUAGUGGCGCAGCUAACGCAUUAAGUCGACCGCCUGGGGAGUACGGCCGCAAGGUUAAAACUCAAAUGAAUUGACGGGGGCCCGCACAAGCGGUGGAUUAUGUGGAUUAAUUCGAUGCAACGCGAAAAACCUUACCUGGCCUUGACAUGUAACGAACUUUCCAGAGAUGGAUUGGUGCUCGAAAGAGAACGUUAACACAGGUGCUGCAUGGCUGUCGUCAGCUCGUGUCGUGAGAUGUUGGGUUAAGUCCCGCAACGAGCGCAACCCUUGCCAUUAAUUGCCAUCAUUUAGUUGGGCACUUUAAUGGGACUGCCGGUGACAAAGCCGGAGGAAGGCUGGGGAUGACGUCAAGUCAUCAUGGCCUUUAUGGGUAGGGCUACACACGUGCUACAAUGGGGUGUACAGAGGGUUGCCAACGCGCAAGCGGGAGCUAAUCCUAUAAAACACCUCGUAGUCCGGAUCGGAGUCUGCAACUCGACUCCGUGAGGUUGGAAUCGCUAGUAAUCGC
Molecule: ribosomal RNA, 794 nt
Filed under: uncultured Methylobacter sp.
Lineage: Bacteria; Pseudomonadati; Pseudomonadota; Gammaproteobacteria; Methylococcales; Methylococcaceae
Description: bacterial SSU rRNA
Rfam family: Bacterial small subunit ribosomal RNA
Source: RNAcentral